AAUUAUAUAAUCUAAAUAGGAUAUUAAAUUGCAAAUUUAAAAGUAGUUUUAUGAAACUUAUAAUUU
This 66-nucleotide transfer RNA is filed under the name Eucryptorrhynchus brandti. RNAcentral's name for it is "tRNA-Cys". Lineage: Eukaryota; Metazoa; Arthropoda; Insecta; Coleoptera; Curculionidae. The record is from RNAcentral.